RNAcentral lists this long non-coding RNA (1234 nucleotides) under Rattus norvegicus (Norway rat). Its description in RNAcentral is "long non-coding RNA NONRATT006699". The record is from RNAcentral. Lineage: Eukaryota; Metazoa; Chordata; Mammalia; Rodentia; Muridae.
UUUGAUGGAAACUUCAUUCCUACCUUUUAGAAGCCAGUUCCUUAGCCUCACCUUAAAUUGCUCUAUCUUUUUGCUAUGACGCUGAAGACUAUUGACUUUGGAGAAAGAGAAAGAGAUUAUCACUCAUGGCCUUAGAAUGUGAGGAAGGUGUGUGCUUUACAACCCAUGCUGUGCUUUUGCCUGGAAAAAGAAGAUAGGACUUUCUGAAGGCAGAGAUAAGUCCUCCAGGCUCCAGCAGACAGUUCCGUACCCAUGAUCUCUGAGAGACUCUAGGUAAAUUCCCUGGCCACUAAACAAAGACCUGAACCCCAGAAGUGACCCUGUAGGGAGGAGGGACCCCUGACAGGUAUGGAAGGAGAACACAGAGUGGGGGAUCAGAACAGUCAGAAUGUGUGUGAUUGUGGGACUCACUGCAGAGUCCCCACAAACUCCGAUUACAGAAAGCAAGGUGCCUGCAUAAUGCACUGGAGAGAUGUGUGGGAAUAGGAAAUAAGGAUGCUGCUUCACACGGCUACACAGCCUGUGUGUGUGUGUAUGGCUGUUGUGGGAAACUGCAUUUGAGCUGAGUGUUCUUUCAUUUUAAUCAUUGUUUUCCUUUAAAAUGGAGACCCAAUGUCACUGGGAAACAUUCUCACCCUGUAACUGGCUGCGCUGCUUUGCCUAAGUUGAGAAGAAGCACGAGAUUAACAGCGUUUUACUAUAUUACAGAGGCUCCUAAACUCAUGUGAGUACAAGGGCAGACUCUCAAAGGCAAGGGCAGGCCCAGCACCUGACCAUCAGGCAGAAGCUUCAACCGUGACAUCAUAGCCUGGCAAAGACCCGGAGUGGAAGGACCAGAAGACUCCUGGGAUGUGUGCAGUAUGGAAGCAUGUUUCUUCAUCACCUGAUCCUGGGUGAAAUAAAGUUCAGACUCGACGAGUUCACAGUGUCUCCUUCAGCCAUUCCUAUCUUGUAGUGAAUUGAAGCUGUCUCCAAAGCUUGAGUUUGGCCACAGAGGCUGUAGUAGCUCUCUGGAACAUUCUCUCUAAGGUAGACAGGAAUCUUUGGAUGCAACGUCCUUACCUCAUAGAUCACACAGGUGCCACAGGAGAUUCUCACUUCUGCAGGAUCUAAGAGCUCACUCUCUGUUCCCCUCUCCUGUUCACUGAGCCAAGGCGAGGAUAGUUAGACUUGCUUAUCAGUGUUCCUAAAUCUGUGUAAUUACCCAACUGGAAAAUAAUCUAUGUCAACACGG